ACGGCCGUUAGUAGGUAGAUAUCGGCGCUACCGAACGGGCUAUCCACCGCCGUCGGCGCCUCGCCGGAAAGUUGAAGCACUUCCCGGACCAACCAAGAAGCCCUCGUGCGCAUUAAUAAGUCGUCAUCGAGAAGCAAGAGGUGACGCCGCCUUUAAAUCCUCGUUCCCUCUUAUUCUCCUCCUCAUUCCCCUUUCUUUAUUUCUUUUCGCUUCGAUUAUGCUUCGAAUCCGCCCCCAUUAUGGCUCUUCCGCCCGUCCUCUCCCUCCUCCUCUUCUUCUCCGACCGCCGACGCCCGGUUCUUCUUUCGCUGCGAAAUUCCUGAACUCGAUCCCUCUCUUCGUCCCACGAUUCGAUGGAUCUCACCGCCGGAGAUCUCUUCCUCCCCCUGCAAGGCUUCCCUCGGUGAUGGCGAUCAAGGGACCGUCGGUGAUGGCUGCGGUGCCGAUGACGAUGACCAAUUCCUCCCGGCCGUUCUCUUCGUCUCAGGUCCCGUUGCUUUUCCCCCUUCAUUCUUGUCUCUCGCGGUAUACGAGAUAUCAUUUAGAUUUUAGUUAGGAAUUGAAAUUGGGGAUAGAUGUCUUCACGAGAACACACUGACGAAUAAAUGUGUGAAAGAAGAUCUAAGUUGGUCUACCGGACUUGUAAAAGUUUUGGGGUUGUCUGUUCAAUGCUUAGCAUGGUUCAAGAACUUGAUGAGGAUUCUGUUGCAGUUUCAACUUGUUUGUUCAUUUUUAAUGAUCCGUUGUCUUGAAUCCCAAGAAAAACUUUUUCUGGUUAAUUCGCGAUUUCCAAAUCAGAUUUGAAGUUAGAAAUUACUUUUUGUGGUUUCUAAUAUAGAUUCUGUACAAUAUGUAAGUAGAGAAAAAAUUUGUUACCAGUGACAUGGUUUUGGUCCUGCCCCUCAGUGAUUUAGGCUGGGUUUCAUCCCAUCAAGAAGAAAAGAUUGUUGCCACUUGUUAUACUGAUUCAAAAUCCACAUUCUAAAUUCAUCAUUUUCUUUAACAAUGUCGACAAUGCUUCAUGUCUUGUAAGUAACAGAGUAUCAUUGUUUUUCAUAUUUUACUAAUCUUUGCUAGGCUUUGUUGUAUCACACCUUCAUCUGAUGACAUUUGAUGUUUGUAGACAGCUAGAUAUGUUUUUCUUGUAGACAAUUGUCUGCCUUUUUUUUUUCUACAUUGUGUUGAAACCUUGCUAUUGACCCUAAGGAAGAAAGGCAAGUCAAGGACAAGGUAAGGCACUGACAGGAUAUACAGAAUAACAUGAACCUGACUUCGAAGACUCCCGGGCAGAGGCUAGCCUCACACACGAAUACAAAAAGACUGACAAAGUCUGGGCAACUACAAGAAACACUCAUAUAAUGUGUAUCCAUGCACAAGCAAACUCAUAUAUGCCGGUUCUCAAAAGCAAAAAGAAAAGCAAAGGAUUGGCAUGCCUGAUGCAUAUGCGACAAAUCGAAUUUAAGUGUUGAAGAGAUCAACUAUGCUUCUGUCCAUGGCCUCCUUGGACCGAUUGAUGUAAUUAAAUGCUCAUUUUUGUACGAUCCAACUAUAAUAAUGAGUUAUUAAAUUCAAAGUAUAGGAGUGGUCCUUCGAACCAUUCAUUGCUUGGAGUAUAGCAAUUUAGAUAGUAAAGAUUCUUUUGCCUUAUAAUUAGAACCAUGCAACCAUAUGUGCAACUUCUAGAACAAUCUUUCACAAACAAACUAAGCAUCUCGAUGAUGAUUGCGUCUUAACCAUAGCUGCCAAACCUUGUCUAAAACUCUUUAGGGUCUUCUUAUUGCUACUUUAUCCAUUAAUAGUUUCUGUUAAAGGUAACACUUAGUGUUAUUCUAAACUUGUGUAAAUCCUUUCUUAAAAUUUUUAUCCAUGUUAACUUAGGUCUCCUCUUAUUUUUGGUACUCCAAUGCAUUUUCAAGCACCUCUCGGAACCGAGGUCUUCUCAAAUCUUCUUUACAGAAGUCCAUACCAGCUCAGUUGUUUCUCCACCACAUCAUUCUUAACUAAUGUUGUGCAUAUACUUACUUUGAUGUACUCAUUUGUCACUCUCUAGUUUUGUGUUUUACCAAUAAAUCCAUCCUAACAUUAUUGUUUCUGUUUGAUCAUCUUAUUUUCAUGGAAUCUUUUCAACAUUUUGAACUAAACAGCAUUGCAAGGUAUGUUCUUUACCACUAUUUUACAAAGUCUUACCUUGUAUUUCCAAGACUUUUCAUGGUGACAUAACACCCUUAAGAUACCUCUCUGGUUGAAGUAAAUUUGUCAUCAUUAAACUCGUUAUCUCCUUCAUUAUUCAUUAUAAUCAAGUGGCAGAUAUUAUUGCCAAGGAAACUGGACACGCUCAUGAUCAUCCCUUGGAGGCCAAGUUGGAUAUGCUUGAUCUCUAUAUGCACCACUAGCUUAUGGAGUAGUGUUAAUUAUAUGGUUUGUCUCUGAUUCUAAAUCUUUUGUACUCUGUAGGAUAACAAGGAGCAGCACAACUAAAACUCAUACUAACAUCCUUCAAUCCACCUCUUUUCUUUCUCUUCUUUCUCACCUACUUCCCCUUUUGCUUCUUUCUUCCUCAUUUUCCCAUCUUUUCGUUUAUGUGGUAACUCACCAACAAGAAGGAACUCUUAUAAAUAAUCCAAGUACUUUAAUCCAGUUUCUGAAACCAUGGUCCUUACCUUAUUAUCACAUCAAGUGCCUGGUGGGCUUAUAAAAAUCAUUCUCAGUUACCACUUUCACAUUGUGUAUCUGAUAGAGAGCCCUGGUAGGUACUGCUGGAGUGGCAUGUAGUUAUGGUGCCACUCAUGAUACUGCCCCAUGUACUCCAAAAAUUGCCUUGGAUCAUGCUAUAGAUAACUUAAACCAUCUGUAUAUGCAUUAGCACUGGAACACCAACGGCUGUGGGCUAGUAUGGUCCAAUCUGAUUAUAUGCAAAGAAGGCAUCUCAAUUAUUGUAUACCCUGAACCUUAAGUAAAAAUGCCCUGAACGGACCAUAAGAGUCGUAUAUGGACCUAAACACAAUUCAGAUAAUAGAAGACGAUAAUUCAGAUGUUAACCUUGAGUUGGAGGUGUCAUGGAAUCCAUGCUAAUAUGAUGGAAGAGAGUUCGGAUGGUUCAUCCCAUUGGUAGUAAAGAUUGAUGACACCCAACCACCUUAUCAAUCUGACUCCCUUCUUGGUGGCUCUUAAGCUUUUUUCAUAUGGACCUAAUAGUGCCCCUUAUGGAAAUUUGUAGAUUCUCUUCUCCAUAUCCUUGCUUCUCUAUUAUCGCCUGAAGGGAGGAAGAUGACUGUCUCUAGGAUUAUGAUCAAAUCUAGGAUGUAGUGACUAAAAUCGGCCUUGUAUGUAAAUAAGCUUAGUUCCACUUGUGCUCGCCCUGUGUCCACACCACCAUGGCCAUUAGUAGUCACAUCACUGGAGCUACUAUCAUGGUCAUUCUUAUUGUUGUCUCUGGAUGAUGCGAGCAAGUCACAAUCUGAAGGCACCAGAGUCUGGCAGUGUUUGCUGUAUGCAGUCUCUAAGGAUCAACCGGGAUCUUCCCUUUAGUUUUACUAUUUUCUUCAACUAGCCUGACUGAUCUAUGUAGAGUUUCUUUCUUGCCUAGCUCUAAAACUCUAAAUAGUGCCUGAUUGGCCUUGUUGACAAUAUAUCCUAAAAUUAAUCUGAAGGAACAUUAUUACAUCAGUUAGUUUCAGGUUUAAUGUGCCUUAGGUAAGGAUUUUUGAUCGUCUAAUUUGACCUUAGAAAGACUGAUGUUUUAGGGCAUGCAUUCAGUAUAUGUGCAACAAAAGAUUUAGCCAACUAGUAAUCCCUUCCUAUGAUCUUCAAAAUUACGUUAUUUUUGCAUACGUGUUCUUGGCUUGACUCAUGUAGAUCUGAUUUGCUUCAGGCUCCCCUCGGCUGAAAUGUUGAAAUGGCAAGAGACAAUAAAAAGGGUUUAUGGCUGUUUAAGCUCAGUAUCAAGCAGUACCAGCAGGUGCCGUUCUUGCUUGUAGAUACCAUUCAAUACCACUAGAUUUGGAGUGGUUCUACCUGGACCGGUGCUGGGUGUGUUAGCUGCUGGUUCCUUGUUGGUAUGGGCGUAUGACACAUACCAUCUAGCAUGUUCCGGCAAGGCCAGCACCUAAAUCCUUGCAUCCAAUAGAAUUCCAGCCAAGAAAAAUGUUCCUCAAUUAGUCAAACCUGACAUACUUUCUGACCUGUCAAAGCAGGCUGCAUUAUGUCAUGAUGCAUGUAAAGAAAGACAAAAAGAAGCAUAUAAAGAAGGAAAUGGAACAAAUAAGAUUAAAUGGAGGAAGAACAGACAGAAUCUUGAAGAAAUUAAAUCUUAUUCAGAAUAUGACUGCUCAAGAGAAUGAAUCCUAUAUUGAAUUUAUAUCCAAGUAGCUGAUCAACUGGAUCUUACCCUAAAACAAAUUUUAGUAGUAGAUUAUUGGAAAGAAAGAUGAAAACUACUCGAGAAACCUGCCACCAUAAAGUGUUCCCCAAUCUAAUUUUCUCUGUAGAGAAGGGCCUCAACUAGAUUUUUAUCCUGUUUAAAUCUCUAUUUUCCUCAAUAUAAUAAUUGAUUGGUCCAAUGUCUUUCUCUAGGUCCUUUUAUGCACUGCUUCCUGCCAAUUAUGCUAUUACUUUAAGUUGAAUCUAACCCUGUGUCUAUUGCAUAUUACUCUCUUCCAACAUUGCAACGAUGCAUUAGUAUGACGAUGAUCCUUGUGCUUCCAUCUGACAUGGAUUUGGGCCUAUUGGGCCUAUAAUUUCUUCAUACAAGAAUGACAUAAUUAUUAUAGGACAAGAUUACUAUAGAUCAUCUACGUGUACUUCAUCAAGUCAUAUUACUACAUUAACAUAACUGUGUGUUCUCACAUUGCUCGAAGUCAAAUUAGUUGGAAUCCCAGUCGUUAGCAAGUCCAUAUGCAUUCUGCAAACCAAGACAGUGCAUCUGUAGCACUAGAAAAUAUUAGGUUGAAAAGAGUGC
Molecule: non-coding RNA, 4957 nt
Organism: Phoenix dactylifera (date palm)
Lineage: Eukaryota; Viridiplantae; Streptophyta; Magnoliopsida; Arecales; Arecaceae
Source: RefSeq, a predicted model, not a curated record